Molecule: ribosomal RNA, 380 nt
Filed under: uncultured eukaryote
Lineage: Eukaryota
Description: partial 18S ribosomal RNA
Rfam family: Eukaryotic small subunit ribosomal RNA
Source: RNAcentral
CAAUAGCGUAUAUUAAAGUUGUUGCAGUUAAAAAGCUCGUAGUUGGAUCUGGGGUACAGGCGGUCGGUCCACCUCGCGGUGUUGACUGGCCUGCCCGGCCCACCUUCUGGUCCUUCCUUGGUGCUCUUGACUGAGUGCCCUGGGCGGCUGGGACGUUUACUUUGAAAAAAUUAGAGUGCUCAAAGCAGUCCUGAGCGACUGAAUAUUGUUGCAUGGAAUAAUGGAACAGGACCCCGGUUCUGUUGUGUUGGUUUUCGGAACUGAGGUAAUGAUUAAGAGGAACAGACGGGGGCAUUCGUAUUACGGCGGGAGAGGUGAAAUUCUUGGAUCGCCGUAAGACGAACUACUGCGAAAGCAUUUGCCAAGAAUGUUUUCAUUAA